Molecule: ribosomal RNA, 436 nt
Filed under: Lactobacillus delbrueckii
Lineage: Bacteria; Bacillati; Bacillota; Bacilli; Lactobacillales; Lactobacillaceae
Description: bacterial SSU rRNA
Rfam family: Bacterial small subunit ribosomal RNA
Source: RNAcentral
UCGAGCGAGCUGAAUUCAAAGAUUCCUUCGGGAUGAUUUGUUGGACGCUAGCGGCGGAUGGGUGAGUAACACGUGGGCAAUCUGCCCUAAAGACUGGGAUACCACUUGGAAACAGGUGCUAAUACCGGAUAACAACAUGAAUCGCAUGAUUCAAGUUUGAAAGGCGGCGCAAGCUGUCACUUUAGGAUGAGCCCGCGGCGCAUUAGCUAGUUGGUGGGGUAAAGGCCUACCAAGGCAAUGAUGCGUAGCCGAGUUGAGAGACUGAUCGGCCACAUUGGGACUGAGACACGGCCCAAACUCCUACGGGAGGCAGCAGUAGGGAAUCUUCCACAAUGGACGCAAGUCUGAUGGAGCAACGCCGCGUGAGUGAAGAAGGUCUUCGGAUCGUAAAGCUCUGUUGUUGGUGAAGAAGGAUAGAGGCAGUAACUGGUCUUUA